AACGAACGCUGGCGGCAUGCCUAACACAUGCAAGUCGAACGAGACCUUCGGGUCUAGUGGCGCACGGGUGCGUAACGCGUGGGAACCUGCCCUUAGGUUCGGAAUAACUCCCCGACAGGGGUGCUAAUACCGGAUAAUGUCUUCGGACCAAAGAUUUAUCGCCUUUGGAUGGGCCCGCGUUGGAUUAGCUUGUUGGUAGGGUAAAAGCCUACCAAGGCGACGAUCCAUAGCUGGUCUGAGAGGAUGAUCAGCCACACUGGGACUGAGACACGGCCCAGACUCCUACGGGAGGCAGCAGUGGGGAAUAUUGGACAAUGGGCGAAAGCCUGAUCCAGCAAUGCCGCGUGAGUGAUGAAGGCCUUAGGGUUGUAAAGCUCUUUUACCCGGGAUGAUAAUGACAGUACCGGGAGAAUAAGCUCCGGCUAACUCCGUG
RNAcentral lists this ribosomal RNA (433 nucleotides) under uncultured bacterium. RNAcentral's name for it is "partial 16S ribosomal RNA". It matches the Rfam family "Bacterial small subunit ribosomal RNA", at positions 29 to 507 of the family's 1533-position model. The record is from RNAcentral.